This 2588-nucleotide long non-coding RNA is filed under the name Homo sapiens (human). RNAcentral describes it as "HSALNT0341200". The record is from RNAcentral. Lineage: Eukaryota; Metazoa; Chordata; Mammalia; Primates; Hominidae.
UGGGAACAGCCAGGAUCCCCUCCGCACGGGAGAACAGCUCUAGACGCGCAGAGGGGCGGAGUCCAAACGGGUGCCAUCACCGACCUGUCUACAAGCAACAUUGUAACAUAUUUCUGAGCCCAUCACAUGGAUAAUGUGACCCUUCUCUUUUUGUCCUGCCCCAAGUGAAGAUUGUGACAUGUCACCAGGCCCUUUGUCUAGGCAAUAUGACUCUUCUCUCCUGUCUGGGCCCUGAUUACAAGGGGGAUUGUGACAAUCACUGGGCCCAUCAUGUAGAUAAUAAGAGUUUCUCUUCCUGCCUGGGCCUUUUCUACAGAAAAGAUUAAGACAUCACUGGGCCAAGCACCCACAUGAUGUCACUCGCCUGCCUGCAUUCUGCCUACAGUGGGUAUUGUGACAUAUCCCUGGCACAGAACCAAGGUAACGUGACUCACCUACCUGGUUCCUGCCCACUGAUGGGAUUGUGACAUAUACCUAGGUCCAGCUCACAGGCAUGAUGAUAACUGUCAUACGUGGACCCAGCCAAUAAGAGAUUUUUGCUCUUAGGCUUAUUACAACAGAGUCUCGCUCUGUCACUCAGGCUGGAGUGCAGUGGCAUGAUCUCAGCCCGCUGCAACCUUCGCCUUCCAGGUUCAAGCAGUUCUCCUGCCUCAGCUCUUGGACAAAACUUCAGCACUCCUGCUAGGGUGUGUCUGCCCUACUAAGACACUGUGCGCAGGUGGAGUUGAGGCUCUUAUGUAUGGAUCCUGUCCACUGUUGAGAUUGUGAAUUGCAUGUGUAGACUCAACUCACAGGAGGUGUUGACUCACAAACCUCCAGCUGGGACAUGUGCAGGAUUAGAAAUUUUAUUUCUGGAUCUUUCUUCAGGCCCAGCUUACAGAAGGCAUUGUGACAGAUCUCUGGGCUCAUUACCUAGGAGAUGUGACUCUACACUGCCGGUUGGGCCGAGCCCCACUGAAGAUUGUGACAUAUUACUGAGCCCAUAAACUAGAAGGCGUUGUAACAUCUCACUAAGCCCAGCACUCAGGCGAUGUGGCUUUCCUGCUAUGGCACUGCACACAAGAAGAAUGUUGACAUAUUCCUGGCCCAGAAUUCAGGUGGAGAUGGAGCUCUCAUGCACGGAUCCUGUCCGAUGUUAAGACUGUGUCUCGUGUAUUUGGAUGCAACUCACAAGAGGUGUUGACUCUCAGACCUAAAGCUGGGAAAUAUGUAGAAUUGUGAAAUUUAUUCCUGGUCCUUCCCGCAGGUGUGAUUGUGGCGUAUAUGUUCACACAGCACUUAAUUUAUUUUACAAUUUGUUUGAACUCAGCCAACUGUUGGGACUGUGACAUAUACCUGGACCAAGUUCCUAGGUGAUGUAACUCUCCAGCCUGGGCCUUACCACAGGGUACAUUGUGACAUAUCUUUGGACUUAUCACCUAUGUGAUGUGACUCUACUGACUUGCCUUGUCUUGGCCUCCAUUGGGGAUUGUGGCAUAUUUCUGUGCCCAGUACCUAAGUUAUGUGACUCUUCUUUCCUGCUUGUGCAUUUAGAAGGGAUUGUGACAUAUUGCUGGGCCAAGAACCUAGGUGAUGUGACUCUCCUGCCUUGGCCCUGCCUUCAGGAAAAAUUGUGAUGUGACUCUGGGUUUAUUACCUAGAUGAUGUGACUCUUGUGUUCUGCAUGGGCAAGCCCAAAGGGGUCAUUGUGGCAUAUCUCUGGGCACAUCAAAGAAGUGGUGUAAUUUUUCUCUCAUUCCAGGACUCUAGUCUCAGUAGGGAUUGUGACAUAUCACUGGGCCCAUAACCUAUGUCAUGUGAUUCUAGUAUCCUGCUUGGGCCCUGCUUACAGGAAAGAUUGUGACAUUUGGCUGGGCCCAUCACCUAGUUAAUGUGACUCUCCUUUUCUUCCUGUGCCCUGCCCUCAGUGGAGAUUGUGACAAAUUUCUGGGCCAAUCAGCUGUGCAAUAUGACUCUGCUCUUUCCUGGGCCCUGCUAUCGGGGAGCAUUGUGACAUAUUGCCAGGCUCAGCACCUAGGUAAUGUGACUCUUCUUGCUGCCUGGGCCCUACUUACAGAAGGGAUUUUGAUGUAUUGCUGAACCAAGAAUUCAGAUGAUGUGACUCUCCUGCCUGUGCGCUGUCUACAGUGGGCAUUGUGACAUAUCAUUGGUGAUGUGACUCUCCUGCCUUGUUCCUGCCCACAGGUGAAAUUGUGGCAUAUACCUGGGUCCAGAUCACAGGCACAAUGAUGACUCUCUUACCUGGACACAGCCAGUGGGAAAUAUUUUGACUUUUGUAGCCAGGCUUAGGGCCACAGGUGGUUUGGUGACUCUCAAACCAUGAUUCAGCAGACCUGUGAGGCUGUGAGUUCCCUAUCAGAACACAAUCUGCAGGUUGUAUUGUGCCAUAUACCUGGGACCAAAUUACAAGCACAAUGAUGAAUCUUUUACCUGGAGUCAAGACAUGGGCAGGAUGAUGGAACUUAUCACUGGACCUUUCCACAGUGUUAUUGUGACAUAUGCCUUUGCCCAACAUGUGGUGAUUUGACUCCCCAGACUGGGUCCAGUUCACAAAUAAAAUUGUGCCGUAUACUUGGCCAAGAACCUAA